RNAcentral lists this transfer RNA (68 nucleotides) under Marmota monax (woodchuck). RNAcentral's name for it is "tRNA.Ala". The stretch from base 3 to 63 matches the Rfam family "tRNA", at positions 6 to 65 of the family's 71-position model. Rfam says of the family: Transfer RNA (tRNA) molecules are approximately 80 nucleotides in length. Lineage: Eukaryota; Metazoa; Chordata; Mammalia; Rodentia; Sciuridae. The record is from RNAcentral.
GUUGUGGCUCAGUGGUAGAGCGCUCACCUAGCAUGUGCGAGGCCCUGGGUUCGAUCCUCAGCAUCACA